GACGAACGCUGGCGGCGUGCCUAAUACAUGCAAGUUGAGCGCUGAAGGUUGGUACUUGUACCAACUGGAUGAGCAGCGAACGGGUGAGUAACGCGUGGGGAAUCUGCCUUUGAGCGGGGGACAACAUUUGGAAACGAAUGCUAAUACCGCAUAAAAACUUUAAACACAAGUUUUAAGUUUGAAAGAUGCAAUUGCAUCACUCAAAGAUGAUCCCGCGUUGUAUUAGCUAGUUGGUGAGGUAAAGGCUCACCAAGGCGAUGAUACAUAGCCGACCUGAGAGGGUGAUCGGCCACAUUGGGACUGAGACACGGCCCAAACUCCUACGGGAGGCAGCAGUAGGGAAUCUUCGGCAAUGGACGAAAGUCUGACCGAGCAACGCCGCGUGAGUGAAGAAGGGUUUCGGAUCGUAAAACUCUGUUGGUAGAGAAGAACGUUGGUGAGGGUGGAAAGCUCAUCAAGUGACGGUAACUACCCAGAAAGGGACGGCUAACUACGUG
RNAcentral lists this ribosomal RNA (497 nucleotides) under uncultured bacterium. RNAcentral's name for it is "partial 16S ribosomal RNA". It matches the Rfam family "Bacterial small subunit ribosomal RNA", at positions 28 to 507 of the family's 1533-position model. The record is from RNAcentral.